CUCAGUGAUAGAGCUCAUGGAUAGAACUCCCAUGGAUUCAAUCCCCAGUACCAGAAAGAAAAAAUGAAAAAUGUUAACUCAAUGUGAUAAGUUCAGUGAUUCCAAAGACUUAAAUUAGUACAUGCUUAUAUAUCUUAACCUGAAAAAUUAAUUAUUUGAAUAAGAUAAUUAUUAGGUUUUGUACAAUAACCAUCCUAUAGUUUUACUAAGGAAUCUGUGCUGUUUCUCUGUGUGUGUGUGUGUUUUGUGUUCUUUCCUUUUCUUUGGGGGAACUACCUUUCAUUUCUUUCCUUGUAUUAUUGAACACAGGGGUCACUUAACCACUAAGCUCUUUAAAUAUUUUAUUGUGAGAGGUAUCUAUAAGUUUCUCAGGGCCUCACUAAGUUGCUAAAGCUGGCUUUCAACUUGCCAUCCUCCUGCCUCAGUCUUCUGAGUCCAGGCGUUUGCUACUGUUGGGUAGGAGUUCAGGGACACCAAAAUGGUGGAGACAAAAUAUUAAAAUGAAGCAGCUGGAGGAUAAGGAGACAGUCCUGUCCCUGUUUACAAUAAAUCCUAUUACCAUGACAACUCCCACCACAGGUUCAAAUUUUAAAAUGACCAAUGGAAGUAAAGUGGGAAGUAUUCUAAUUAGGUUUUCUAAAGUAAUUAAUGGGGGGGAAGUUGGAAAAUAUUCUUUUUUUGUUGUUCUUUUUAGAUAUACAUGAAAGUAGAGUAUAUUUUUACAUAUUAUACAUACAUGGAAUAUAAGUUAUUCUAAUUAGGAUCCAAUUCUUUUUUUAAUUUAUUUUUUAGUUGUAGAUGGAAACAAUACCUUUAUUUUAUUUGUUAUUUUUUCAUGUGGUGCUGAGGAUCCAACCCAGUGCCUCACGCAUGCUAGGCAAGCGCUCUACCACUGAGCCACAACCACACCCCCUAGGAUCCCAUUCUUAUGGUGGUACAUGAUGUGGAGUUUCACUGGUGGAGUAUUCAUAAAUGAACAAAAUUGGUAAAUAUUCUAAUUAGGUGCCAUGAGAUAACCAAUGGGGAAAAAUGGGGUAAAGUCUUCAAUCAGAUCCAUAUAAGGAAGAGACACCCCCAUAGUUCAGGAUAUAAAACCCUAAUUUCCAGACACUGGGACCUUGAGUCCUCCACCCCUCCUUCUCUCCCCCCCCCAACCUUUCUCUCUCUCUUCCAGCCCACUCCAUUCUACCUAAUGGAGUACCAUCUUCACCUCCAAUAAAUCUAUACUCUGUUACUUCUGUGUGUCUCACUCAAUUCUUUGUUCAGGACACCAAAGACAUGGAAUUUGAUUGGAUAUCAUAAUGGUACCAUUUUGAUGAGCCAGCCAGAAGGUGAGCCCCUUUCCAAGGGGCACUGAGGAAUUGAGUGUCCCCAUUCCAGAAGAUGGACUAGGUCAGUCAAGACCAUAGCAGCACAGACCCUCCUGGAUGGAGAAAAUGUUGACUGAGGAUACCGGAGGUGGCCACAGAAGCUCCUAUGUGACAUUACCAUCUCUCUUGAGGAACGUCAGGUAAUCUUGGAUGUUAUGGGUAAGGAAAUCCAAUUCUUUGCCAAUAUAGGGGCGAGGUGCUCUGCUCUGACUGCUUAUACAGGAAAGCCUUCUUCAAGGUCCAUUUUUGUGGUAGGCCUUGAUGGUAGAAAAAAAAAAAACUUUACCCAUCUCAUACUUUGCCAAUUUGAUAAUCUGUUUUUUAUUCAUGAAUUUCUAACAAUCCCCAGCUCUUCUCUUCCACUGCUAGGAUAAGAUAAAAUGGCCAUACUGGGGGUAUUCCUCCACUGGGGAUACAAACCCCAAACACCCCUCGUGGCCAUUUGUGAUCCUGUACCUCAAGAGAUUAAUUCUCAAGUAAAUACUUUAGCUUGUAAGCAGGAAGGUCAGGAAAAGUUAUUUAUACUUUUCCAGUAUAUGUAACCCUAAAAGAUGCUAGCCAUUACCCAAAUAAAAACAAUAACCUUUAAAAGAAAAGGUAAAAAGGGGAUUACAACCUAUUAUACAUGAGCUAGUUCAAUAUAGACUUCUUAAACCUGCAAUCCCCCAAUAACACCCCAAUUUUAACCAUUCUAAAACCUAACAGGUAAUACUGGCUAGUACAAGACCUGAGACUUGUUAAUGAAGCUGUAUACCCCUUAGUUGCAGACCUUUAUACCUUGCACUCCCAAACACCAGGAGAUACUACUUGGUUUACAGUAUUGGAUCUCAAGAAUGCAUUCUUCUCAAUCCUAUGGCAUUUUUCAUCCCAAUAUCUUUUUGCUUUUGAAUGAAAAUCCUUUUAAUAAGGAAAGACAACAACAUUCAUGGACAAUCCUCCCCUAGGGGUUUAGGGAUAGGGUUUUGUCUGGGUCCUGGCAAGGGACAUAAGGGAUCUCAAACUCAAUCGGAGAGGAAUCCUUCAAUAGGUAGAUGACCUACUAAUAUGUAAUCCAACUAAGGAUAUCUCUACCAAAACACCGUACAAACACUCAAUUUCUUGGUAGAAGGAGUAUUCAAGGUAUCUAAAAAGAAAGUCCAAAUCUCUCAAAAUAAGGUGCAAUCUUUGGAAUAUAUACUAACUCCAGGGACCAGACAAAUUUCCCCAGAUAUGAUAAGGGUCAUUUGUCAGUUGGGUCCACCAGUUAAUAAACAACAGCUGUGCUCCUUUUGGGCAUGGAAGGGUUCUAUAGAAUCUGGAUCCCAAACUUUGACCUUAUUGCAAAUCUCCUCUAUAAAAGCAUAAAAGGGCCAGACUCAGAGCCCCUAGAAUGGAAUGCAGAAAAUGAAACUGACUUUGGGGGCAUUGAAGCAGGUACUUAGCCAGGUUCCAGUCCUAGGAAUACCUAACCUAACUGAGCCGUUUACCCUUUAUGUGGCAGAAAGAAAGGGAAUAGCUACAAAGGUACUAACACAAGACCUGGGGGUCCAACACAGGCCAGUAGCUUAUUUCUCUAAGAAAUUAGAGGUGGGUAACUACAAGGUGACCAGGAUGUUUGUGAGUGGUGGUAGCCACAACCCUUCUGAUAAUAGAGGCUACUAAGAUUACUUUAGGGCAACCUCUUAAGUUCUUCACCCCACACCAGGUUAAAACCACCUUGGAAACAGAAAGGCAUUUACGGAUAAUUGGAUAAAGACUUACAAAAUAUUAGACAGUUGUCUUGGAUAAUGCUGAGGAUAAUAUCAGAACAUAUAAUACUCUCAAUCCAGCCUCUCUAAUUCCCAUUGACCUCCUAGCUGAACAUUCAUGUGAGGAAGUAAUGCUCCAGUCCUAUGCCAGUCACCCAGACCUAUCUGACCAACCUCUGUCUAACCCAGAGGAAGAAUGGUUCAUGGAUGGUAGUAGUUUUGUCUGAAAUGGUCAAGGGAAGGCUGGAUAUGCAAUAGUAAGAACAGAAAAAUUAAUAGGAGCUCACCUCUUGCCCUCAGGGACUUCAGCUCAAAAGGCUGAGCCAAUUGCCCUAACUAGAGCCUUAAUAAAAGGACAAGAUAAAAUGCUCACUAUAUAUGCAUGACUCCAAAUAUGUGGUUUUGGUGUUUUGUGCCCACGCAACCAUUUGGAAAGGAAGAGGCCUCUUGGCCACUUGACAAUCCCCCAUUAAUAAUACAGAAUAAAUAUUGCAGCUGUUGGAAGCUGUGACUCUCCCCAAAAGAGUGGCUGUCAUACACUUCUGGGGACAGCUAAAGGACAUAUCAAAAGCAUCCCAAGUCAACAAAAGAGCUGAUCAAAUAGCCAUUGAGGCAGCCAUGAUUGUAGGUCCAACCCUGGUUAUGGCUUUAUUCCCAUUCCAGGAAGACAAAUUACACCCAAUCUAUACUCCAGAGAAGGAAUAGGUUGCUCUCAGGGCAGAAGUCACUAAAGAAGGAAAAUGGUGGGAAAGGGAUGGAAAACUUUAUCUGCCAUGUCAAUUCAAUGGAACACCAUUAAAAUGUUACAUGACUCUUUCCACCCAGGGUGAGAGGUCACCUGUGGAAUGGCUAUCGGACUUUUUCUGGAUGCUGGCCUAAACAGAUGCUGACAGACAUCUUCAGGGAUUGCUCUUUUGCUCCUAUAAUAAUCCUGGGCCCGGACUCCCCCCACUGGUUGAACCUAUACAACACAGGGUAACAUAUCCAGGAGAAGACUGACAGAUGGAUUUUACCCAUAUGCCUGCUUGCUGACGAUUUAAAUACCUGCUUGUCCUAGUAGACACUUUUACUGGGUGGGUUGAAGCCUACCCCACAAGGACAGAAAAGGGUAUAGAAGUAGUGAAAGCCCUACUAACAGAAAUAAUUCCUAGAUUUGGGCUUCCCUAAAGCUUACAGAGUAACAGUGGACUUUGUAUCCCAGGUCACACAAGGGGUUGCGAAAGCCUAGGGAAUUACAUAGCAUCUACAUUCAGCUUGGAAACCCCAAUCAUAGGGAAGGUAGAAAGAACUAACCAGACCCUAAAACAGACCUUAGUUAAACUCUGUCAGGAAAUCUCUGAAAUAGGGUGACCUUACUACCCAUCACCCUCAUGAGAAUUUGAAAUGCAUAUAGGACCCAGCUAAAUAUCAGCCCUUAUGAGAUGCCAUAUGGGCGGCCAUUUCUAUCAAAAGAACUUGUGCCAGAUCAGAAUCUGUUGAACUCAUUAAAUACCUAACAAUUUGGGAAAUUCCAACUAGAUAUUCAAGCCAUAGGAAACUAUGUCCUUUCAACUCCUAAAGAGGGAGAAACCUUUCAGGUUUUACCUGAAGAUCAGGUGUUUACCUGGAGAACAGAUGUUAAUAUAAACAUGGAAGGAAGGAUCCUCAGAGGAUCAGUGGAAGCCAAAAUGGAAAGGUACAUAUCAGGAAUUCUGGCUACACCCACAACUAUAAAAUCAGUGGAGAUCAACAACUGGAUUCACCUGCCAAAGGUGAAGCAAGCAUUGCCUGACCAUUACACCCCUCUUGAGGAAACUUGGACCAGUGAGCCAGUUGAAGACCUCAAGUUCAUUUUCAAGAAGCAACCACCAAAAGAUAUGUGAAUGUCUCCUGAUCUUAUACCCCACCUGAGGUGGGCUCCAAUUCUGGGAAUUAUCUUCCUCUGUGGGUUUCUUGUGUUUGGGAUUCUGCUACUUCUAAGACUCUAUUCUCAAGGAUAAGGCCCUUUGCUGUCUCUUUAACAUGGGGCUACUUUCCCAGAGGACUGCUAUCCUAGUUUUCCCCAUUUCUCAUCCUGACCUUAGGACUAACUUUUACCCUAUGACCAGUAAUUGGCUCAAAUCAGCAUCUGGGAGGAUUUUGGGAUUGGAUGUACCUUUUGAAAACUUUAAACCUUACUUGUCAACUCCUAAAACAAUCACAUCCUGGAUUGGCUCAGGACUGUUGGCUGUGCCUGUCAUCAAACUCUAUAGAAAACACUGCCAUUCCUGUCUCUGCCCCAAUAGGUGCUACUAGCAAAAUGAGUCUCCAUCAUAAAUACGAAGGGAAUUUAUGAUUCUGCAUUCCAGCUAAUGACCUUAGAUGCUUUUUACAACUUCCAAAUUGCAGAGAUGACCAAAAUCCACAAUGAAUAGAAGGACAGUUUAACUCCUCCAGUCCUAUCAAAAUAAUCUUCCUAAAACUUCAUCUUGUCUGCUAAUAUGAGGAUUUAUUAUAACCCAAACCAGGCUCAAGUUCCAGUGCCCCUCUAUGUCCAGAGGGAAUAAAAUUCUGGGUAUAACUUGGAAACAUUAGAAAGCCAUCUUUGCAACCAUACCUUAAAAAUUACCCCACAGAAUGGCCACUUUAAUUCCAUUGUGAUACAAGUUGCCCCCUUUAGAAAACGUGUAUGGUUCUCAUUUAAACCUUUUUUAAAGAAGGACACAUUAUUAAAUAAACACUCAGGCUAUUGUCAAAAUAUAUCCUCUGCCUAUAGAGACAUCUUCCCUUGGGAGGUCUGAUCGAACCCAGCCUUUACUGAGUGCUUACUUGUACCUAAUUAUCAAAACUCAAACAAAUGGAUUCUAAUUGACAUAAAAAGAACUCCUUGCAUUGGGAAAAUAAAACCUUGGAAACAAUCCCAGACCAGUCCCAUGGCCCCUUCCAACCUCUGACAGGGGUUACACUGGAUGGAACCCUAUCAAUAUGGGAGUCUGAAAAUAAUGAAAUAACUACAUAUUUUAUCAAACUCAGUUUCUGUAUGGAAUCACCAGGAAUCUUUGUAUUUUGUUGAAAAAAUUUUACUUGUGUCUACCAGCAAGGGCUAUAUUCAAAGCAUAAAAUAGACCAGUGUCACAUAGGUAUGGAAAUAUAUUUUAGUAUGGAAAAUUAGAAAGUAAAAGAAAUGUUUCUAGAUAAGAAAACAUUUUAUCUGGUAAAGUAAUAUUUUUGUGCUAAAGUCCAAGAUGUAAGAGAAGACAAAUCUAAGGAAGUAAACAAGUGGUACAAUGUAUAAGUAAGUUGCAGAAGGUUUAUGGAAGGUAAAUCUCAAAAAGUUUGGGUAUAUGAUUAAAUUGGCUAAAAUCAGCACAUUUAUUAACUAUAUUCAAAUUUUAAUGUAAUGAUAUGAAGCAAAGUCUGAAACAUUGAUCUGCUCUUAUCUGUAUAAUUUUCUUGUAUCUGUUAGGUUUUAUUGUUUAGAUGAACUAAAUCUGAAAGGAAUUAGACUUUUUACCUGUUUUAAAGUCUUUUAAAUGAUUUCUUCAUAACUGGUUAAAUAAACAAACUGUUAUUUCAGGUUAUAACAAUAUAGUUUACAAUUGAGGGGAGUGAGGGGAGGAUGGGGUUGUGGGAAUGGGAAGGACAGUAGAAUGAGACAGACAUUAUUACCCUAUAAACAUGUAUGAUUACAUUACUGGUGUGACUGCACCAUGAGAUGCUAUAUGGACACCAAAGGAAUGAGAAGUUGUGCUCCAUUUGUGUACAAUGUGUCAAAAUGCAUUCUCCUGUCAUGUAUAACUAAUUAGAACAAAUGGAAAAAAUAUAAUAAAAUCAAUCAGCUUAUUAGCAUUUUUUUCUGUUGAAUUCUAUGAUUUACUUGUAUAUUUUGGAUCCUAAAUGUUAUUAGAUACAUGGUUUGUAAAUAUUUUCUUCCAUUCUAUAGGUUGCCUUUUUGCCCAGUUGAUUGUAUCCUUUGCUAUACAGGGGAUUUUACUUUGAUUCAAUCCUACUUGUUUCUGC
Molecule: long non-coding RNA, 7075 nt
Filed under: Marmota monax (woodchuck)
Lineage: Eukaryota; Metazoa; Chordata; Mammalia; Rodentia; Sciuridae
Source: RNAcentral